GGUUGAGAUAACGGCAGAUCUGAUCAGAGUGUGUUAAACUAAAAUUGGUGUAAGGAUUAGACCUGCUUAAUAGUCACUUGUCAUGAUGCUGAUUGCUUUAAUCUCAACUCUGCUGCGCCUGUUUUCCAAAUUGAGUAUUAUAGUACAUUAUUUUCCGUAUUUUCUCUCUGUAGUGUUGUUUAUCCUCUCUGGGCCCUGGUUUCAGAUCAUUAUGGUACUGAGUAUUAUAGCAAUGGCUUAUGAGACGAUAAGAUAUCUGGUCAUGACUCUAACUUGGUAUUCAUACUCAGUAACAUCGUGGACUCUGUACUUUGGAAACAGUAUCUUGGGAACUAUUAGCAAUUAUACCUAUUGUUUUUCUCCAUUAGAGAGUCAGUCUGUGGAGGGAAAAGGGGAAGAUAAUUUUUCUUACUUGAUUACUCUCCCUUUCUCCUUCACCACCCCUGUAUCCUCCUGGAUCACUCUGCCUUCUCCCUCAAAAUAUCUGCCUUCCUCCUUCACCACCCUCUUAUCCCCUGAGCUUGUCAAAAUAGCUCUCCAAGAUAUUGAAUAUUAUUGGGAUACUCGGAAUACCAUAGUCUUGUUGUUCUGCCUCAUGAAUGCACUUCAGAUUCUGCUUAAAGUUAAACAACUACUUGGGGAGCUCAUCUGGAGAUCUGCCCGGAGGCAGGAUAGUUGUGGGUGGCAGGGAGUAUGGGUGGAUAUGGGCAGGCAUCUAGAGCAGUUGGCACCCCCAGUGUGUUGGAAAUUCACCCCUGAGCAAUGGCAAAAUCCUCAAAAACUGGCAGAAUGCUUGAAAAAAAGGUGUCAUGAUUCUGGCAGUUCCAAAGUAACACAAAUCAUUGUAACGUGCUGGGGCCUGGCUCAUGCCUAUCGAGCUGCCAUUGAUACUGCUAUCAACUUAGUGACAGACCCUGCGGCCACUCCAAGCCCUGUGACAGAUCCAACGGCCACUGUGACCCCUACGGUGGACUCGGCAGCCGCUCCAGAUCCGGUUCCUGCAGCCGCUCCAGCUCCGGUUCCUGCAGCCGCUCCAG
This 1037-nucleotide long non-coding RNA is filed under the name Anas platyrhynchos (mallard). Its description in RNAcentral is "lncRNA (ENSAPLG00020003553.1)". Lineage: Eukaryota; Metazoa; Chordata; Aves; Anseriformes; Anatidae. The record is from RNAcentral.